Molecule: microRNA precursor, 70 nt
Filed under: Mus pahari (shrew mouse)
Lineage: Eukaryota; Metazoa; Chordata; Mammalia; Rodentia; Muridae
Description: miRNA (MGP_PahariEiJ_G0007297.1)
Source: RNAcentral
GUGUGUGUAGAUAGAUUUGCAAGUGUGCAUAUAGCUAUAUGUAUGUGACACCCACACAUGCAUACACACA